CGGAAGAGCAAGAGUAAGAAUCGAUUAGAUUUUGGAGGUGAUCCGAAUCACCGUCUGGAUCCAGGAAUUUUUUGAAGGUCGAAGGACAAUUGAGAGAUGGCCGCCAGGCCAUCUCUCAAUUGGAUGGUCUUGGAUGCCAUCCAAGACCAUCAAUCAGUGGUUGAUCCAGCCUGAUCAACCACUGAUUGUCCUCACUGGUGUCAGUACAAAAAAGAGAAAGAUAUGGGAAUGACAAACACAACAAAUCUGACAUUAAUAGCAGUCCUGCUCUACAGCCAGAGCCACUGUCUGUCAUUCAGUGUGGUAAUUAGAAACUCAAGUAAAAGAUUGUGACUUGUACAGAAAGGGAUAUGCAAUAGACUAUUAGCUGUCACAUGUCGUAUCUCUUUGUCCACUCAAUAUCAGAUCACUAACAUUGUUUUCCUGAACUUCUCUCUGUUUUACUGAUACUGAAGAUGACUAAGAUGAGACACAGGUAUGAAAAGGGACUACAGUUUUCAGGCCCUCCAAAGAAUGAAGACACCAUGGACAACUUAACGUGCACUGUACAUCCCAUGAUGAUGACAAACUCCAAACCAAGUUAGAGGGUUCCUUGACAUUCCUGGACUAUCUGACAAUGGCCAAUCAUCCAUUUCCCUAGAAUCCAAAGCAACAAGUCAACAGCUAGGAGAAGAAGAAAACUGGACAAAGAGAAGUGUAUCAAACUGAGCUGCACAAAUGAAGCUGUCACUGUGUGCUUCCUCAAGUUUGUGAAGCAGAAGAUCUCAGCAUCUCCUCACCUCUAUGUAGAAAAUUCAGCACAGUCAAGAAAUAGACAAAGUUCAGACUGAAAACAGUAUGAUGUGGAAUACAUUAAAUACUCCUCUGAAUUGUUUAAAUGAUAUUUAAAAGUGUGAUUUCAUUUUGUGUUUCAGUUCAUGAUUGAAUGAUCUCCAAAUUUGUCAACGUUAUUAAACUGCAAACUUAAUUUCUCAGGAAAAGUUCUGCAAAAAACUUGGCAGAUAUCUUUGUAUGAUGUAUUUGUAUAGUUGUUUGAAAUCAUUUAACAUAAGUGCCUGUUUUCACUAGGCGAAUUUGAAUAGCCUGUUAAAUAUACACACCAUAUUUCAAUGAAACUUUCAUGAUAUAAUAGUAAUGUGAAGAGACUGCAUUACUGAUCAUAAGAUCAACUCUAUUAGAUAAAUCCACAUGUAUAUCAGUAGAUAUUUGUGUUUGUAGACACUACUUCACAGAAAUAUUUUGUUUCCAUGUGUGCACCUUUUAAUUGGUUUUGUGAUGAAUUUAAUGAAAAAAUGGGCUGUAUCUAAUCUGAUCCAGUGUUCUGUGAGAUCCUUUACUCUCAGUCAGUUUGAGUUUACAUGAAGCAUCUUAAAAAGUUAAUCAACUGAAAUAUUUGUGCUGCCUUCACAACUGCUUCUCCACCAGGGAUUAGAGUUAUUAGGACAACUGUGUAGCUAGAUGCAUUAUUCAGUAGUUUACAUUUGUACCAGUAAUUCUGCAUGUGCUUUGUGAGACUUUCCUCACAUAACUUGCUGAUUUGGACUCUGUGUUGUCUCUGUCUGCACCUGCAGGCAGAUUUAAAUGUUGAUAAACUUCUUGAGCUGGUG
Molecule: long non-coding RNA, 1607 nt
Organism: Acanthochromis polyacanthus (spiny chromis)
Lineage: Eukaryota; Metazoa; Chordata; Actinopteri; Pomacentridae
Exons: 2
Source: RefSeq, a predicted model, not a curated record